RNAcentral lists this ribosomal RNA (301 nucleotides) under uncultured bacterium. RNAcentral describes it as "partial 16S ribosomal RNA". It matches the Rfam family "Bacterial small subunit ribosomal RNA", at positions 509 to 808 of the family's 1533-position model. The record is from RNAcentral.
CAGUCGCCGCGGUAAUACAGAGGGUGCGAGCGUUAAUCGGAUUUACUGGGCGUAAAGCGUGCGUAGGCGGCUUUUUAAGUCGGAUGUGAAAUCCCUGAGCUUAACUUAGGAAUUGCAUUCGAUACUGGGAAGCUAGAGUAUGGGAGAGGAUGGUAGAAUUCCAGGUGUAGCGGUGAAAUGCGUAGAGAUCUGGAGGAAUACCGAUGGCGAAGGCAGCCAUCUGGCCUAAUACUGACGCUGAGGUACGAAAGCAUGGGGAGCAAACAGGAUUAGAUACCCCGUAGUCCCUGUCUCUUAUACA